AAUGAACGCUGGCGGCAGGCCUCAUACAUGCAAGUCGAACGAUCCUUCGGGAUAGUGGCGGACGGGUGCGUAACACGUGGGAAUCUGCCCUUGGGUGCGGGAUAACAGUUGGAAACGACUGCUAAUACCGCAUAAUGUCUUCGGACCAAAGAUUUAUCGCCCAAGGAUGAGCCCGCGGCUGAUUAGUUUGUUGGUGGGGUAAUGGCCUACCAAGACUACGAUCAGUAGCUGGUCUGAGAGGAUGAUCAGCCACACUGGGACUGAGACACGGCCCAGACUCCUACGGGAGGCAGCAGUAGGGAAUAUUGGACAAUGGGCGAAAGCCUGAUCCAGCCAUGCCGCGUGAGUGAUGAAGGCCUUCGGGUUGUAAAGCUCUUUCAAUCGUGAAGAUAAUGACGGUAGCGAUAUAAGAAGCUCCGGCUAACUCCG
This 429-nucleotide ribosomal RNA is filed under the name uncultured Alphaproteobacteria bacterium. RNAcentral's name for it is "bacterial SSU rRNA". It matches the Rfam family "Bacterial small subunit ribosomal RNA", at positions 29 to 505 of the family's 1533-position model. The record is from RNAcentral. Lineage: Bacteria; Pseudomonadati; Pseudomonadota; Alphaproteobacteria.